AGAACGCUGAAGAGAGGAGCUUGCUCUUCUUGGAUGAGUUGCGAACGGGUGAGUAACGCGUAGGUAACCUGCCUUGUAGCGGGGGAUAACUAUUGGAAACGAUAGCUAAUACCGCAUAACAAUGGAUGACAUCAUGUCAUUUAUUUGAAAGGGGCAAUUGCUCCACUACAAGAUGGACCUGCGUUGUAUUAGCUAGUAGGUGAGGUAACGGCUCACCUAGGCGACGAUACAUAGCCGACCUGAGAGGGUGAUCGGCCACACUGGGACUGAGACACGGCCCAGACUCCUACGGGAGGCAGCAGUAGGGAAUCUUCGGCAAUGGGGGCAACCCUGACCGAGCAACGCCGCGUGAGUGAAGAAGGUUUUCGGAUCGUAAAGCUCUGUUGUAAGUCAAGAACGAGUGUGAGAGUGGAAAGUUCACACUGUGACGGUAGCUUACCAGAAAGGGACGGCUAACUACGUGCCAGCAGCCGCGGUAAUACGUAGGUCCCGAGCGUUGUCCGGAUUUAUUGGGCGUAAAGCGAGCGCAGGCGGUUUGAUAAGUCUGAAGUUAAAGGCUGUGGCUCAACCAUAGUUCGCUUUGGAAACUGUCAAACUUGAGUGCAGAAGGGGAGAGUGGAAUUCCAUGUGUAGCGGUGAAAUGCGUAGAUAUAUGGAGGAACACCGGUGGCGAAAGCGGCUCUCUGGUCUGUAACUGACGCUGAGGCUCGAAAGCGUGGGGAGCGAACAGGAUUAGAUACCCUGGUAGUCCACGCCGUAAACGAUGAGUGCUAGGUGUUGGAUCCUUUCCGGGAUUCAGUGCCGCAGCUAACGCAUUAAGCACUCCGCCUGGGGAGUACGACCGCAAGGUUGAAACUCAAAGGAAUUGACGGGGGCCCGCACAAGCGGUGGAGCAUGUGGUUUAAUUCGAAGCAACGCGAAGAACCUUACCAGGUCUUGACAUCCCGAUGCUAUUUCUAGAGAUAGAAAGUUACUUCGGUACAUCGGUGACAGGUGGUGCAUGGUUGUCGUCAGCUCGUGUCGUGAGAUGUUGGGUUAAGUCCCGCAACGAGCGCAACCCCUAUUGUUAGUUGCCAUCAUUCAGUUGGGCACUCUAGCGAGACUGCCGGUAAUAAACCGGAGGAAGGUGGGGAUGACGUCAAAUCAUCAUGCCCCUUAUGACCUGGGCUACACACGUGCUACAAUGGUUGGUACAACGAGUUGCGAGUCGGUGACGGCAAGCUAAUCUCUUAAAGCCAAUCUCAGUUCGGAUUGUAGGCUGCAACUCGCCUACAUGAAGUCGGAAUCGCUAGUAAUCGCGGAUCAGCACGCCGCGGUGAAUACGUUCCCGGGCCUUGUACACACCGCCCGUCACACCACGAGAGUUUGUAACACCCGAAGUCGGUGAGGUAACCUUUUGGAGCCAGCCGCCUAAGGUGGGAUAGA
Molecule: ribosomal RNA, 1425 nt
Filed under: Streptococcus salivarius
Lineage: Bacteria; Bacillati; Bacillota; Bacilli; Lactobacillales; Streptococcaceae
Description: bacterial SSU rRNA
Rfam family: Bacterial small subunit ribosomal RNA
Source: RNAcentral